Molecule: transfer RNA, 69 nt
Filed under: Cetostoma regani (pink flabby whalefish)
Lineage: Eukaryota; Metazoa; Chordata; Actinopteri; Beryciformes; Cetomimidae
Description: tRNA-Pro
Rfam family: tRNA
About the family: Transfer RNA (tRNA) molecules are approximately 80 nucleotides in length. Their secondary structure includes four short double-helical elements and three loops (D, anti-codon, and T loops).
Source: RNAcentral
CAGAAAGUAGUUUAAUAAGAAUUCUAGCUUUGGGAGUUAGGGGCAGAAGUUGAAGUCUUCUCUUUCUGA